This 790-nucleotide long non-coding RNA is filed under the name Mytilus galloprovincialis (Mediterranean mussel). The record is from RNAcentral. Lineage: Eukaryota; Metazoa; Mollusca; Bivalvia; Mytilida; Mytilidae.
GUGCUCCCAAAAUUAGGAAAACAGUUUUCACUUGACCAUGACCUCAUUUUACGUGUUCGUGUUAUGUGUUCGUGGUUUAGACAAAAUCUUAGAUACCAAAUGCAAUAGUUCUUCUAUUAUUUUUGGUUGUAUGGAACGAUUUUAAUGUCUAAAUGUCCACUUCACAGGUGUCAUCUGACCUUGACAUCAUUUUCAGGGUUAAGUGGUCCGGCAAAGUAAAAUGUUUGUGUUUUGGUGUAUUUCUCGGAUACUAUAAGCAUUUAGUUAAAUAUAUAUUUGAGGUAUGGAAUUUUUGUAUGGUGAAAUUGUCUAUCUUGCAAUUAUAUUAAUCUGACCUUGAUUUUAUAUUCAUGGUUCAUUGGUCCAUGUUAUUUGAUUCUUGUUUGGUCUGUUUUUCAGAUACUAUAAGGAAUAAAUUAACUAUAUUUGUUUUAAGGAAUGAUUGUAAUGUAUAUAUAUUUGGCUGGUUGCUAUCAUCUGACCUUGACUUUGUUUUCAUGGUUUAUGGUUAAUGUUAAAUAUCUCAGAAUUGGUCUAUUUUUCAGAUACGAUGAUAAAGGUAUAGUUAAACUGUAUUUAAUGUACAAAAUAAUUAUAAGGCGCGCAAAUCAUAUAAGGUUUGUUUCUCAGAUACAUUUGGUUCUUCAAUACAGCAAGAAAAAAUCCCACACCCAAAUGCGUGUUUCAGCUGGCCUAUAAACAAAAAUAUGGACUAUAUAAAAAAGAAGAUGUGGUAUGAUUGCCAAUGAGACAACUAUCCACAAAAGACCAAAAUGACACAGACUUUAAC